This 408-nucleotide ribosomal RNA is filed under the name uncultured bacterium. RNAcentral describes it as "partial 16S ribosomal RNA". It matches the Rfam family "Bacterial small subunit ribosomal RNA", at positions 30 to 526 of the family's 1533-position model. The record is from RNAcentral.
AUUGAACGCUGGCGGCAGGCCUAAUACAUGCAAGUCGAACGAAGUGGCGCACGGGUGAGUAAUAUAUAGUUAAUCUGCCCUACACAGAGGAACAACAGUUGGAAACGACUGCUAAUACCUCAUAGUGUAGGAUGAGACUAUAUCGUAUCAGCUAGUUGGUAAGGUAAUGGCUUACCAAGGCUAUGACGCGUAACUGGUCUGAGAGGAUGAUCAGUUACAUUUGAACUUAGAACCGGGCCCAACUCCUUCGGGAAGCAGCAGGAAGGGAUAUUGCCCAAUGGGGGAAACCCUGACGCAGCAACGCCGCGUGGAGGAUGACACUUUUCGGAGCGUAAACUCCUUUUAUCAGGAAAGCGGUACCUGAUGAAUAAGCACCGGCUAACUCCGUGCCAGCAGCCGCGGUAAUUC